CUUGCUUCCUGUCCUGUUGUAUUUGGUCUCAUGAGUCUCUGUUUCAUCCUUCAUAUCCUCCCCAACUUCCUUUUGAUAGUCAGGGGUAUACUCCCAUUUCAUGCUCUGGUGGAUAAAUGAGAGGGCAAUAUCAGUCUUCUUUUGUGACUUUAUGAAACAACUUAUUUGCUGGUAUUUUACUCAAAACGGCAGUGGUAGUCAACUUUCUGUCCAUGGGUCAAACCAGUGAGACAUACAGUAUUGCUUUGGUAGUGAGUGACCUAAAAUAAUGAUAGUGAUUUCUCCUCGAAACUCAAAGUAUGCAUAAUUAACCAUACCGUGGUAUCGUCAGACAUGGGUGUGUAGCCUAUUGUAGCAGGCUAUUUGGAGGUAAUACUGAUAGUCCCUUUAAAAGCACAUGGGUGAAACGUCAACAGACGCAACUGAAGUGACAUGGACGUUAUCCUUGAAUUUUACCAAGACAUUGUUGAAUACUCGUUUCUGAUAGGCUUAAGCAGAGGGAUUCGUAAAAUACCGUAUACACAUUAUGUCACAAUUAGGCCUAAAUCUAUAGCAUAAAUCCAAUGGAUUUGCUAUAUUUAUAUGGUCUAAUGUCUAAACGCUUUGUCGACAAUAUCAGAAAACAGAUCAUAGCGAGUCAUUUAUGGUUCAUCAAGCAUCCUCAUCCUCUUCUUAGGCAUCAUCAUCACCAUCUGCACGUCAAUCACUCUAGUGUCUAAUUGGUAUAUUGUAAUUACUUCGCCACCAUGGCCUAUUUAUUGCCUUACCUCACUUUUCUUACCUCAUUUGCACACACUGUAUAUAUAUUUUCUUCAACUGUAUUAUUGACUGUAUGUUUGUUUUACUCCAUGUGUAACUCUGUGUUGUUGUAUGUGUCGAACUGCUUUGCUUUAUCUUGGCCAGGUCGCAGUUGUAAAUGAGAACUUGUUCUCAACUUGCCUACCUGGUUAAAUAAAGGUGAAAUAAAUAAAUACAUUUUUAAAAAUGCUCAAAAACGUAACUCGCUGCAACCCAUUAGCGAUAAUUCUGAUGCUGCAAAUCAGCAAAACUAACAUGUGCAAUAAAUUAUAAUCACUUGCACUUAAACUAGUUUAAAAUCAUUGAUGUUCUCUGGGGCUCGAACUAUUUCAGCACUGUUGAGCUGUCAAUGUCUGAGUUUGUAGGCGUUAGUGGACAGCGGCAUGGCCCUGAAAUGUUUCGAAUCUGGGCAGCACCUGAGACAGCGGCAUGGCCCUGAAAUGUUUUGAAUCUGGGCAGCACCUGAGACAGCGGCAUGGCCCUGAAAUGUUUUCGUUGACGAAGCAGUGGUGGCUUACAUCCCACUGGUCACACACUGGUUGAAUCAACGUUGUUUCCAAGUCAUUUAAAGGGAAUUAUCUGGAACCAACGUGAAAUAGACGUUGAAUUAACGUACGUGUCCAGUGGGAUAUACUUAUGUUUAAUCUUGCGUGCAAUGAUGCACGAAGCAGAAAAGCAGAAAAAAACUGUGUUCGUUGUUUGCAGUAACUUCUCUGCUGUUGUAAUAUCGGACGUGGUAGUUUCACCAUUAAGGAUUCCAGCUUUAAAAAUGCAGUAUAAAGUCUCCCCAGUUAUGGUAGAUUAAUUUAGCAAGACAUGGACAAAUCCAACACUGUUCUACCGAGUCCUUCUCAGCCUGAGAUUAGUGGUUACAGCCCUCAGCUCUCUAGAUAAGACCUGCUAAAGACACCAAGACACUAAAUACAGAGAGCAUUGAGAGACACAAGACACAUGUCACAG
This 1758-nucleotide long non-coding RNA is filed under the name Salmo salar (Atlantic salmon). RNAcentral describes it as "lncRNA (ENSSSAG00000101279.1)". The record is from RNAcentral. Lineage: Eukaryota; Metazoa; Chordata; Actinopteri; Salmoniformes; Salmonidae.